GUGCUUGCUUCAGCAGCACAUAUACUAAAAUUGGAAUGAUACAGAGAAGAUGAGCAUGGCCCCUGUACAAGGAUGACACAUAAAUUCAUGAAGCAAUCCAUAUUUUU
Molecule: small nuclear RNA, 107 nt
Filed under: Castor canadensis (American beaver)
Lineage: Eukaryota; Metazoa; Chordata; Mammalia; Rodentia; Castoridae
Source: RNAcentral